CGGGGUGCAGCAGGCGCGAAAACUUUACAAUGCCGGCAACGGCGAUAAGGGAACCUCGAGUGCCAGGUUACAAAUCUGGCUGUCGUGAUGCCUAAAAAGCAUUGCAUAGCAAGGGCCGGGCAAGACCGGUGCCAGCCGCCGCGGUAACACCGGCGGCUCGAGUGGUAACCGUUAUUAUUGGGUCUAAAGGGUCUGUAGCCGGCCGGAUAAGUCUCUUGGGAAAUCUGGCAGCUUAACUGUCAGGCUUUCAGGAGAUACUGUCUGGCUCGAGGCCGGGAGAGGUGAGAGGUACUUCAGGGGUAGGGGUGAGAUCUUGUAAUCCUUGAAGGACCACCAGUGGCGAAGGCGUCUCACCAGAACGGACCUGACGGCAAGGGACGAAAGCUAGGGGCACGAACCGGAUUAGAUACCCGGGUAGUCCUAGCCGUAAACGAUACUCGCUAGGUGUCGGCCACGGUGCGACCGUGGUCGGUGCCGUAGGGAAGCCGUGAAGCGAGCCACCUGGGAAGUACGGCCGCAAGGCUGAAACUUAAAGGAAUUGGCGGGGGAGCAC
Molecule: ribosomal RNA, 553 nt
Filed under: uncultured archaeon
Lineage: Archaea
Description: bacterial SSU rRNA
Rfam family: Archaeal small subunit ribosomal RNA
Source: RNAcentral